UGGGGAAUAUUGGGCAAUGGGCGCAAGCCUGACCCAGCAACGCCGCGUGAGGGAAGAAGGUCUUCGGAUUGUAAACCUCUGUCCUUGGGGACGAAAAAAAUGACGGUACCCAAGGAGCAAGCUCCGGCUAACUACGUGCCAGCAGCCGCGGUAAUACGUAGGGAGCGAGCGUUGUCCGGAAUUACUGGGCGUAAAGGGUGCGUAGGCGGCUUGGCAAGUCAGAUGUGAAAUCCCCGGGCGUAACUCGGGAGUUGCAUUUGAAACUGCUAGGCUUGAGUGCAGGAGAGGAAAGCGGAAUUCCUAGUGUAGCGGUGAAAUGCGUAGAUAUUAGGAGGAACACCAGUGGCGAAGGCGGCUUUCUGGACUGUAACUGACGCUGAGGCACGAAAGCGUGGGGAGCAAACA
Molecule: ribosomal RNA, 405 nt
Filed under: uncultured prokaryote
Description: bacterial SSU rRNA
Rfam family: Bacterial small subunit ribosomal RNA
Source: RNAcentral